Long non-coding RNA from Lethenteron reissneri (Far Eastern brook lamprey), 2449 nucleotides. RefSeq lists it as uncharacterized. The record is from RefSeq and is a predicted model, not a curated record. Lineage: Eukaryota; Metazoa; Chordata; Hyperoartia; Petromyzontiformes; Petromyzontidae.
CAGCUGAAGCCGGUGGCCACGGACUCGCUGCCGCAGCUAAGGAGCGGCGGGCGACCCCGCAAGACUAUUGCGCCCUACAGGUGUCGCUGUAAACAGAACUGUGGCACUCUCCGGUGCGGCUGCAGGAGAGCGGGAUUAGCAUGCUCUCGCCACAACUGCGGCUGCGACCACCGCAUCUGCAAAAACGGCAGCCACGCGGUGCUCAAGGAGAUGGGUGGCACUGGGCUGCUGUCUGGGCUGUCGGACCCCUCUCUGCUCACCAACGCCAGCCCCCCCGUUCAAGAGCCACGCGCCAGCGGAGGCAGCACCAGCGGUCGCACCAGCGGAGGUGGUGGUACCAGCGGUGGUGGUGGUGGUGGUGAUGAUGAUGGUGGUGGUGGUGCUGCUUCUGGAGCUGGGUCACUCGGGGCUCAUGGCCGCCUGCUCGCCCGUGCCGCCCAUGUAACGUAGUCGCGGCGACGGCGGCGUCUCACACGUUGUUGUUGUUGUGUGUUGUUGUGCUUCCUCCGACGAGCGCGGUUUGGCUUGCUGCGUUACGGCGGUGCGAAAGCCGUUCCACGCGUACACACACCAACAACUACCUACACAACAACAACUACCUACACAACAACAACAACAACUACCUACACAACAACAACAACUACGUACACACCAACAACUACGUACACACCAACAACUACGUAGACACACCAACAACUACGUAGACACACCAACAACAACUACGUACACAACAACAACUACGUACACACCAAACAACUACGUACACACCAACAACUACGUCAACAACAACAUCCGCCGUUCACCACUAAGUGGCAGUGACAGCGCUUGUGCCAGGCUAGGUGCACGUUGAGGCCACCACGUGAAGUGUCAAACGCCCCCCGCCGGCAGGAGGUCACGUGGCAGACCCAGCUGGUGCCACGUGUCGACUAAGAUGACUGGCCGAUGCACCACCUGUGCCAGGCUAGGUACAGGAGGUCACGGGGCAGACCCAGCUGGUGCCACGGGUCGACUGACCGAGACGACUGCCCGAUGCACCAGCUGUGCCUCCCACUGUGCCAGGCUAGGUGCACGCAAAAGACAAAAAUCCCCCGUAUAGCCUGAACAGGCUGUCGGGGCAAAUGCUUGCUGCUGCUGCUGCUUAGUUGAGUUGGCUCUGCAAGCGUGCGGUGGUGGCGGUGGUGGUGGUAAACGUCGCACUGUGUGUGUGUGUGGCAAGGCCGUUGUCCGUGAGCUUUUGUCGGAGGGGAAAAAUGUUUAGCUGCCAGAGUGUGUCACGCCGUGUCCGUCUUUCUCGCUGUCUCUCUUGUUGUUUUUCUCGCUCUGUCUUUGUCUGUCUCUCUGUCUGUGUGUGUCUCUGUGUGUGUGUGUCUGUCUCUGUGUGUGUGUUUGUAUGUCCGUCGACUCGAUGGUUGCGUGAUGAUGAUGGAUGCACUGAGUCGGUUCGGAUGGAUUUAGAGUUCCACGGUUCAGCCACACGUGACGAAUUAGCAGCAGGCAAGAUUGUCCGGGUGUGUAGUGUGUGUGUUGUGUGUGUGUGUGGUGUGUGUCCAGUGUGUGUGUGUGUGGUGUGUGUGUGUCCAGUGUGUGUGUGUGUGGUGUGUGUGUGUCCAGUGUGCUGUGUGUGUGGUGUGUGUGGUGUGUGUGUGUCCAGUGUGCUGUGUCAUGUGUGUGGUGCGUUGUGUGUGUGUGUGGUGCGUUGUGUGUGUGUGUGGUCCGUUGUGUGUGUGUGUGUCUGUGGUGCCUUGUGUGUGUGUGGUGUGUUGUUUGUGUGUGUGUGUGGUGUGUUGUUUGUGUGUGUGUGGUGUGUUGUUUGUGUGUGUGUGGUGCGUUGUUUGUGUGUGUGUGGUGCGUUGUUUGUGUGUGUGUGGUGCGUUGUGUGUGGUGUGUGUGGUGCGUUGUGUGGUGCGUUGUGUGUGGUGUGUUGUGUGGUGCGUUGUGUGUGGUGUGUUGUGUGGUGCGUGGUGUGGUGCGUUGUGUGUGGUGCGUGGUGUGUUGUGUGGUGCGUUGUGUGUGGUGCGUGGUGUGUUGUGUGGUGCGUGGUGUGUUGUGUGUUGUGUGGUGCGUUGUGUGUGUCUCUUCAAUGAUGUGUAAUGUGUGAGUAUGAAUGUACCUAUUGUCAUUUUAACACAGACGCUUUCGCUACCAAUGUCAUCCGUAAUUGAGGUUGUGUUUUUUUGGGGUGGGGGGGGGUGUGGGGUCUUAGAUCGUGUAAGUAUAUGAAUGUGUCGUUAAACCCGCCACCACCCGACACAGCCACCUAGUGAACGUGAGUGUCGUGUGAAUAGCACGGGGCCGGUUCGUCACGAUCACAGCACACAGCCUAGUGUAGUGUAUAGUGUAGUGUAUAGUGUAGUGUAUAAUGUUGUAUACUAGUACAGCACUAGUGUGUAGUGUAUAGUGUAGUAUACUAGUACAACACUAGUGUAUAGUGUAGUAUACUAGUACAGCA